GAUGAAGAACGCAGCGAAAUGCGAUACGUAAUGUGAAUUGCAAAUUCAGUGAAUCAUCGAGUCUUUGAACGCACAUUGCGCCCCCUGGUAUUCCGGGGGGCAUGCCUGUCCGAGCGUCAUUGCUGCCCUCAAGCACGGCUUGUGUGUUGGGCCCCGUCCUCCGAUUCCGGGGGACGGGCCCGAAAGGCAGCGGCGGCACCGCGUCCGGUCCUCGAGCGUAUGGGGCUUUGUCACCCGCUCUGUAGGCCCGGCCGGCGCUUGCCGAUCAACCCAAAUUUUUAUCCAAGUUGACCUCGGAUCAGGUAGGGAUACCCGCUGAACUUAAGCAUAUCAAUAAGCGGAGGA
RNAcentral lists this unclassified non-coding RNA (345 nucleotides) under soil metagenome. RNAcentral describes it as "partial contains 5.8S ribosomal RNA, internal transcribed spacer 2, and large subunit ribosomal RNA". The stretch from base 1 to 119 matches the Rfam family "5.8S ribosomal RNA", at positions 35 to 154 of the family's 154-position model. The record is from RNAcentral.